Molecule: ribosomal RNA, 768 nt
Filed under: Favartia erosa
Lineage: Eukaryota; Metazoa; Mollusca; Gastropoda; Neogastropoda; Muricidae
Description: partial 16S ribosomal RNA
Rfam family: Bacterial large subunit ribosomal RNA (bases 1-585)
Source: RNAcentral
GGCUCCUUGCUAAAUAUGUAUAAGGAGUCAGACCUGCCCAGUGAAUUAUUUUUAACGGCCGCGGUACUCUGACCGUGCAAAGGUAGCAUAAUAAUUUGCCUUAUAAUUGAAGGCUUGUAUGAAUGGUUUGACAAGAAUGAAGCUGUCUCUUUAUAAUUGAAUAGAAUUUUAUUUUUAGGUGAAGAAGCCUAAAUAUUAUUGAAAGACAAGAAGACCCUAUCGAGCUUAAAAUAAAUAAAUGAAUUGAAACUUCAUUUGUAAAUGAAAGUUAAUCAAUAAUAAUUUUGGUUGGGGCGACUUAGGAACAAACAAAGCUUCCUAUAUUUUGAUAUAUACAUAACAAGUAGUGAUCCAAUACAUUUGAUUAAAGAAAUUAGUUACCGUAGGGAUAACAGCAUUAUCUUUUUUGAGAGUUCUUAUCGAAAAAAAGGUUUGUGACCUCGAUGUUGGACCAGAAUAUCCUAAAGAUGCAGCCGUCUUUAAGGGUUGGUCUGUUCGACCAUUAAAAUUCUACGUGAUCUGAGUUCAGACCGGCGUGAGCCAGGUCAGUUUCUAUCUUCAAUUAAUAUAAACAAGCUUAGUACGAAAGGACCAGAUUGUUGUAACGAUAGUUUGCUUUUAAGUGAAUUAAUAUAAAAUAAUAUUAAAUAAAUCAAUUUUAAUUAAAUCAAAUUAGCAAAAUUAAUGCAAUUGACUUAGGAUCAAUAGAUAUAGGUGAAAGUCCUUUAUUUGAUAAAAUUAAUAUAAUUGAUAAAGGUGGCAGAUAAA